This is a long non-coding RNA of Lathyrus oleraceus (garden pea), 4726 nucleotides long. RefSeq lists it as uncharacterized. The transcript is spliced from 3 exons. The record is from RefSeq and is a predicted model, not a curated record. Lineage: Eukaryota; Viridiplantae; Streptophyta; Magnoliopsida; Fabales; Fabaceae.
UAUUUUUUUGGAAUACAAAAUAAUAGAAAAAAAAAACUUAAGAUGAGAGACAGUGUUGUAAGAGAGAGUGUGAGGUAAAGUCACGGUGUACUUGGCGGGUUAAAGUCACUGAAAUCCAACCCUAAUAGUCCAAACAAAUUUAAUAUGGUGGACUAUCAUGUAUAUGUUUGAUGAUGGGGUUGUACGAAAAAAACACUUUGAUGAUCGACCAUCUUACAUAGUUACGAAUAUGACCGUUGCUAAGGUUUUUUUUGGAGUGAAGGUCAUUGUGGCGGUGUGUAAUGCCCUUUUGGCAGUGCUCUUCUCUUUCUCUUUCACUGGUUCAUUUCAUUUAUCCCUUGUUUCUCAUUCUAGAUUCUAGGGUCUGAGAUGGAAUCCAUUCUUUUCCCUAAGACGGUUCUAGAUGCUACGCAUGGCAAAGAUAAGUCUUUAGCUAUAUAAAAACCUGCAAAAUCGUUUGUUGAAGCUCUUGGUAAUGUUUGUGACAUACCAACAAGUCAGUUACCGGUUCCAUGUGUAAAAAGAGACCGAAUAUCCAUUGCAAUUCCAGAAGAUGAAUACCUCCUUGGAGUAGAGGCAUGUAAACACAAUCUGCAUGGAAGAAUUUUAUGGCACAAGGGUUUUUCCCCGCUUACAGUCUUGUAGCUCAAAGCCAAGUUGAACACUUUGUGGAUUGAUAUAAAUACAUAGGGUGUUACCUCUCUAGGUAAAGGUUUCGUUGCUCAUGGUACCAGAUCCAUUGUCGGUACCACUAAAACUUCCUUAUGAAGUGCCUCUUUUGGAACAUAAGGGGGCUUGCCAAUUCCCCUUCCAAAUUGGCUCUUAAUAAUAUCAUUAAAGAUCAUAAUCUUGAUCUCUGUCUGAUUGCAGAACCGUGGAUGAAUCAUUAGAAUUUACCUUUUGCUUUUUUGGGAUAGGCUGAAUCUUAAACUUUUUGCAGCGAAUGAUAUAAAUUAGUUAAGCCCAAACCUUUGGUGCAUCUGUAAAAAAUCUUUAGUUCCCCAGCUUCAUUCUGCUUUUGAUCAGUAUGUUUCUUUCACCAUCAUUGUUGAUAACCACACACUUGAUUUUAUUGUCGUUUAUGCUUCCACUUGCAAUACAACGAGAAGAAGGCUUUGGUCUGAUCUAUAAGCUUUUUUCCCUCCAACAUCCCUUGGUGUUUCAUUAGAUAUUUUAACUCCAUCAUUGGCGCCCAUGAGGAUAAAGGUGUUAAUAAUCCUAACAUUUCUCAUAUGCGGGACUUUAUAGAAUGGACUGAACAAAACUUGUUGAUAGAUGUUCCUUCUAAGGGAGUCAAUUUCACUUGGUAUAAUGGCCGCAGUGAUCGUGCCUUUGUGGAACGAAAGCUGGAUAGGGAUUUUUGUAAUCAUGGUUGGAUCAUUCAUAGUCACACCUUAAUUGUUACUACUCUUCCUAAGUUGAGAUCAGAUCAUCAUCCUAUUAUUCUUGACUCUUCCUUCACCAUCCAUCUGUGCACCUAUCACUUCAGGUUUCUCUGUAUGUGGACGCAUCAUGAUAAUUUCAGGAGUUUAUUGCCAAAAUUUCGUCCACCCAUAUCAUUGGUUGCCAUAUGUUUAUUUUAUCUAAGAAGCUUCAAAUCCUUAAAGCUCAGCUCAAAGUCUCGAAUAAAGAUGUGUUUGGCGAGAUUCACUCCCUUAUUAAAAACCACAACGGUAAUCUCGAAAAAAUCCAGAAGCGUAUCAGUUCUGAUGGGCCUUCUGAAAAUAAUAGAGUGAUGGAGAAGAAGGCGCGGCUUGACUUAGAGAAAGUUCUCAUCCAAGAAGAGCUUUCUGGUCCGAAAAAGCCAACCUUUCUUAACAUUCUUGUGGUGAUAGGAAUACGUCUUUCUUCCACCGGAUGGCCAAGAUUAAAAGAUCCAGUAACAUUAUCACAUACCUAAAAGAUGGUGAUAGCAUUAUCACUAAUCAGGUUAGUCCUCAGAUUAUGGAUAACAAUAUGAAUCUCUUGCUGACUAUGGUUCCUUCCAAAGAUGAGAUUUGUAAUGUUGUCUUUGGCCUCAACAAGUACAACGCUCCUGGUCCCGACGGGUUUGGAGGUAUGUUCUUUCAUACUUAUUGGCAUAUUAUUGAAUUUGUUGUGUGCAAUGCUAUCCUGGAAGUUUUCACCAAAGAUUGGAUUUUGCCCAACUACAAUGUUAAUACCAUCAUCCUGAUUCCCAAGACCAAAGAUUCCCAUUCAGUGGACAUGUAUAAACCCAUUGCUCUAGCGAAUUUCAAGUUUAAAAUCAUCUCCAAAAUCAUAGCUGACAGGUUGGCUUCCAUUUUACCGAAUAUCAUUUCUAAGGAGCAAAGAGGUUUCAUUCACGAGAUAAACAUUAUGGAUUGUACUUGCUUAACAUUUGAAGCUAUCAACAAUAUGGACAACAACAACAAGCAUGGAAACUUGUCUCUUAAAGUGGAUAUUGAUAAGGCUUUCGAUACGAUAAAUUGGGAGUUUCUUCUUAAAGUUCUCAAAACUUUUGGAUUUUCUCAAAUUUUCUGCAAGUGGAUUAGUAUCAUCCUUAAUUAGGCCCAUCUUUCCAUUAAUCUUAAUGGUGUUCAUCAUGGCUAUUUCAAUUUAAAAUAGGUGUUCGUCAAGGGGAUUCCCUACCUCUCAUCCUGUUUCGUUUAGCGAAAGAUGUUUUUAGCAGAAACAUCACUAAGUUGGUUUAUGAUGGUGGUCUUAGUCUUAUCAAAGCUUCUAAGAAAAUUUUUGUUCCAUCUCACAUUUUCUAUGCUGAUGACAUUAUGAUCUUUUGCUCGGGUAAGAUGUCUAACAUCCGUGCUCUCAAGAAAUUUUUUGUUGAAGACUCUUCUGCUUCUGGCCAGACUGUUAACAUUGCAAAAUCUCAUGUUUAUUUCGGAUCCAUCUCGAACAGGAAGGUUAAUCGAAUCCUUGUCUCCACUAGUUUCAAUAGAGGUGUCCUUCCCUUUAAUUAUUUGGGAGUUCCAUUUUAAAAGGUCGUGUCAAAGCGUCUCAUCUCCUCCCCUUAACGGACAUAGUCCUGGCUAAAUUGUCUGUUUGGAAAGGCUUCCUUCUCUCUAUGGCAGGUCGAACCACUCUAGUUAAGUCUAGUGUCCAUAACAUGAUUAUGUAUUCCAUCAACAUUUAUUCUUGGUCGAUAUCUCUUCUCAAAAAGAUUGAAAAAGAUUGUAGAAAUUUUAUUUGGUGCAGUGACAUACAUAAGAAGGCUGGUAGGUUGAUUAAAUUCUGGAAAGAUUCCUAGUGUUGUCUUCCGCUUUUGAGCCACACUUCUCAGGAUUUGCUUCAUGAUAAAUACAUAAAUUCCAAUGUUAUGGCUGUUGAUCUAAUCUCUAAUGGGCAAUGGUCAUUUCCGCUUUGUUGGUAUGAUUGGUUCCCUUUCUUGGCUAAUAUGCUCCCUUUAGUUCCUGAUUUCCAUAUUUGUAAUAAGGACCUUAGGAUUUAGAAUGGCACUGUUACGGGUAUGCUUACCCUUAAGGAGGCUUUCUUAUUCAUUUCUUAUCCAUCUCCUUCUAUUGAUUAGGCUCAGAGCAUUUGGAAUGUCGAUAUUCAUCCCUAGAAAUCUAUUUUGGUUUGGAAGCUCAUGCACGACAAAAUUCCUACGGGUCAACUCAUCAUGAAAAGAGGAAUCUCUUUGGCUUCUUGUUGCUCUUUGUGUCUUAAGGAUAUGGAAAUCAAUGAUCAUUUCUUCUUUCAUUGUAGUUAUAAGACCCCAAUUUUGACCCUAAGAUCCCUCAUGCUAUCUCAUCAUAUGCAUUAGCAUUGGGAUCACACCUUGGCAUCCUUCUUACCCCUCAUCCAUUGGGUUUGCAUUAGGAGAGAUCACCAAGCAUCAUGUGAUUGUAUCAUACUUUGUAUUUUUAUCAUUUUACUAACCAAAAUACCAAAAAUAUGUCUUUGUAUAAACUAACUCUUUUGUAGGUAGGGCAUGUGCUCACCUUUGAUCUAUCAAGCUCACAUCUAGAGUUUAAGACCCUCAGUACAAGGAGAUCAAUCAAUAUUGGUUUACUAUGUCUCUAAGCAUCAUAUAUGAAUCCCCAUGGUCUUCAGAUGUUAUUUUGAUCAAGAAUUCAUCAAGAGUUUGGAGUUGGUUUGCCUUGGAAAGCCUAAUUCAUCUAGGUAUCUUGUGUAACUUCUUCAACAAGCUUCUUCUCCAAUUGAUCAAAGAUUUAAAGGGAUACUUCAAAUUUCAUCAUCUUAUGCAUAUAUUAUCCUCCAUGAGUCCUAAAUAUCAAUAGAAUUGCAAGUUAGCAAGUUGGUUAAUGGUGGUUGACCAGAGGAAUUCAUCUAAUCAAAACUGGGGUUCCCUAUACCCUAUCUCCUACAAUUUUUAUCAUAUGAAAAUGAUUCCAAAAGAAACGUUACUCUAAAUGAUAUUCCAAACAACUUUCAUGUUGAGGUCUAGAACUAGUUUUGUUUGGAAAGUCAUUUUUUAUGGUGAAAGAUUAUAGGUCAUUUUGUCUAAACCCUAAUUUGGAGGUCAACUUCCCAAGGCCAUAACUUGCUCAAUUUUUAUGAUAUGAAAGAUUCCCAAGUUGCACAAUUAAAUUCAAGAUUUAUAAUUCAACUUUUAUCUUUGGAGGAAGAGCUAAUUAAACUUUUAUGAGUAGGUGAUAUGAGGAUACAUUAUAGGUCAUUUUGGACCAAUGCCAUUGAAUAAGUGAUUUUCCUCAACUUCAAAAAUUCAUAAAUCCUUCAUAUUAAAUCCAAAUGAGGUCAAAUUUGUGACCAUUUUGAAUUAAUU